Molecule: unclassified non-coding RNA, 253 nt
Filed under: uncultured Caryophanales bacterium
Lineage: Bacteria; Bacillati; Bacillota; Bacilli; Caryophanales
Description: uncultured Bacillales bacterium contains 16S-23S intergenic spacer region
Rfam family: Bacterial small subunit ribosomal RNA
Source: RNAcentral
UACGUAGGUGGCAAGCGUUGUCCGGAAUUAUUGGGCGUAAAGCGCGCGCAGGCGGCCUCUUAAGUCUGAUGUGAAAGCCCCCGGCUCAACCGGGGAGGGCCAUUGGAAACUGGGAGGCUUGAGUAUAGGAGAGAAGAGUGGAAUUCCACGUGUAGCGGUGAAAUGCGUAGAUAUCGGGAGGAACAUCAGUGGCGAAGGCGACCGCCUGGCCUAUAACUGACGCUGAGGCGCGAAAGCGUGGGGAGCAAACAGG